This 63-nucleotide transfer RNA is filed under the name Eisenoides lonnbergi. Its description in RNAcentral is "tRNA-Leu". Lineage: Eukaryota; Metazoa; Annelida; Clitellata; Crassiclitellata; Lumbricidae. The record is from RNAcentral.
AAGUAAGUUGGCAGAAUAGUGCUACCGACUUAGAAUCGGCCCAUGGGUGCCACCCACUUACUA